Molecule: unclassified non-coding RNA, 427 nt
Filed under: Hevea brasiliensis (rubber tree)
Lineage: Eukaryota; Viridiplantae; Streptophyta; Magnoliopsida; Malpighiales; Euphorbiaceae
Source: RNAcentral
AGCCGACAAAAAAGGGGAAACAGGUUCUCGGAACAAAAAAGGUGCUGGGCCAACAAAUCAGCCACCUCGUACUGGAUAUGGCUAUGGUGCUCAAGGAUUUGCACAGCCUAUGAUGUAUGGAAGGGGACAGGCUCCAGUUGGCAUGGCAAUGGUGCCAAUGAUACUGCCUGAUGGGCGUCUUGCAUAUGUCAUGCAACAACCAGGAAUACCGGUGAACUCUCCGCCACCACGCGGUGGCAGUGGGCGUGUAGGAAACUCUAGCGGGGGGCGGAAAAGCAAUGACAACAACCGCGGACGCAGGUAUCAACCUUAUUGAACCUCGGGACCAUGGACCCAGACAUUAGUAGUAAAACAUUUUGUAUGAAUGAACCUUGGAUGAAUUCUUUUUAUAUGGUCCCUGUAUGGUGAACAAAGUGCUGUUAUGAAG